CCCUUAGAUGUCCUGGGCCGCACGCGCGUUACACUGAUGCAUUCAACGAGCUUAUAACCUUGGCCGAGAGGCCUGGGCAAUCUUGUUAACGUGCAUCGUGAUAGGGAUAGAUUAUUGAAAUUAUUAAUCUUGAACGAGGAAUUCCUAGUAAACGCAGAUCAUCAAUCUGCAUUGAUUACGUCCCUGCCCUUUGUACACACCGCCCGUCGCACCUACCGAUUGGAUGGUCCGGUGAAGCCUUGGGAUUGUGGUUCUUGCCGCUUUAUUGUGGCGUGACCGCGAGAACUUGUCUAAACCUUAUCAUCUAGAGGAAGGUGAAGUCGUAACA
This 328-nucleotide ribosomal RNA is filed under the name uncultured eukaryote. RNAcentral describes it as "partial 18S ribosomal RNA". It matches the Rfam family "Eukaryotic small subunit ribosomal RNA", at positions 1470 to 1796 of the family's 1831-position model. The record is from RNAcentral.